CUCUGGACGGUGGAUCACUUGGCUCGUAGAUCGAUGAAGAACGCAGCCAACUGCGUGAAGCAUGGCGAAUUGCAGGGCUUCAUGAAACCGCUACUUGUCGAACGCAUAUUGCGGCCCUGGCUCUCGGGCCAGGGGCACAUCCACCUGAGGGUUUG
This 155-nucleotide ribosomal RNA is filed under the name Mangalocypria ryukyuensis. RNAcentral's name for it is "5.8S ribosomal RNA". It matches the Rfam family "5.8S ribosomal RNA". From Rfam's summary of the family: 5.8S ribosomal RNA (5.8S rRNA) is a component of the large subunit of the eukaryotic ribosome. It is transcribed by RNA polymerase I as part of the 45S precursor that also contains 18S and 28S rRNA. Lineage: Eukaryota; Metazoa; Arthropoda; Ostracoda; Podocopida; Candonidae. RNAcentral also lists the same sequence under 1 other name. The record is from RNAcentral.